UACGUAGGGUGCAAGCGUUAAUCGGAAUUACCGGGCGUAAAGCGUGCGCAGGCGGUUUUGUAAGUCUGUCGUGAAAGCCCCGGGCUCAACCUGGGAAUGGCGAUGGAGACUGCAAGGCUUGAAUCUGGCAGAGGGGGGUAGAAUUCCACGUGUAGCAGUGAAAUGCGUAGAGAUGUGGAGGAACACCGAUGGCGAAGGCAGCCCCCUGGGCUAGCACUGACGCUCAGGCACGAAAGCGUGGGGAGCAAACAGG
Molecule: ribosomal RNA, 253 nt
Filed under: uncultured bacterium
Lineage: Bacteria
Description: partial 16S ribosomal RNA
Rfam family: Bacterial small subunit ribosomal RNA
Source: RNAcentral